CAGUAGCCGCGGUAAAACGUAGGGUGCGAGCGUUAAUCGGAAUUACUGGGCGUAAAGCGUGCGUAGGCGGUUUGUUAAGUCUGUUGUGAAAUCCCCGGGCUCAACCUGGGAAUGGCAAUGGAUACUGGCAAGCUAGAGUGUGUCAGAGGAUGGUGGAAUUCCCGGUGUAGCGGUGAAAUGCGUAGAGAUAGGGAGGGACAUCAGUGGCGAAGGCGGCCAUCUGGGACAACACUGACGCUGAGGCACGAAAGCGUGGGGAGCAAACAGGAUUAGAUACCCCCGUAGUCCCUGUCUCUUAUAA
This 301-nucleotide ribosomal RNA is filed under the name uncultured bacterium. Its description in RNAcentral is "partial 16S ribosomal RNA". It matches the Rfam family "Bacterial small subunit ribosomal RNA", at positions 509 to 809 of the family's 1533-position model. The record is from RNAcentral.